NNNNNNNNNNNNNNNNNNNNNNNNNNNNNNNNNNNNNNNNNNNNNNNNNNNNNNNNNNNNCCGGCUGGCCGCUCGGGUCGGUGGGCGGCUGCUCGGUGUCCGCUCCCCUGCGCCCGGCGGCUGUUGGGGGCACUUCCAGGCACGAAGUAAGUCUGCCAUGUGGAAGGCUGGUGUACAAAGGAAGCGGAUUCAGAUUCUGAGCCAGCAGAGCCGUACACAGACUUGCUCAAACCGUGAACCUGGUUGAUGGCCCCUCCACGCGCAUUGUACAUCUGCUUUGUGAAGAAGUCGCCUAAAGGAAAACCGACUUGUCCUUGAGAUGCCCAUCAAUGCCCCCUGCGUUCCUUGAAGCUAACCCUAACCCUAAAACUCAUGAUUCCUGCCAGUAUGUUAACCUGUGAGCUUUUGAGUUUUUACAAGAUGUGAAAAGUUGAUAAUGCUCUGGAGUGCGUUCUCUGUUAAGAGCAUGUUUCCUGGGCACCUGGAGUGAAACUCUCUUUCUUCUCAGGUGUGUUUGCAUCAGCAUUUCCUGUUGUAGUCAGCAGGAUUCAGAGCAACUCUGUGGGAAGAGCCGCGUGUUGUCUGGCAACUGGCCCUCGGUGCCUGCCCAGGACCGCUGUGCCCGUCCAGCUUCUCAGCACCUCAGGGGCAUGUCGCAUUUACUUAUUCAUUUUAGAGAAUGAAAGAGAGAGUGCGAGCAGGGGGUGAGGGAGACAGUCUCAAGCAGACUCCCAUCUGAGCGCGGAGCCGAAUGGGCAGAUCCUUCCCUGAGAUUGUGACCUGAGCUGGAGCCAAGAGUCAGAUGCCCAACAGACUGAGUCCCCCAGAUGCCACCCUGGGCAGACCUGGAAAACAUGGAUUUCUCUGCAGGGUCAGGGCCUGCCCACUGACUGGGGAGCUGGCCGAAUGCGGCACCUGGGAGCCCAUGGUGUGGCCAGUCUGCAGGGUGAGUGACUGUCGCCAGUUGAGAGCUGCCGUGUCAGAAAGUUUCAGAGGACGGUUUCCUGCUACCUGGAGGUUAUACGCACAGAGGUGGACUCUUAAUGUGGUGGAAGUUUUUCAGUUUUGGCUCCUACAUCUGCCUAAAUUAUGUUCCUGUAUUAGAAAAAUGCACAUAUUUCAUGCAGUGAAAUGCUGUAAAUACAUGCAUUGCUUUUCUGCACAGGACUGUGUGGCUGCUGGGGUAUUCUUCACCAAGACAGGAGAUUGGAUUCCUGGUAACCCCAUGGGUACCCCUUCAGGGGAGGUGAGGAUUGGCACCUCAGAAAUACUUCAGAAUGGGAGGGCUCCUGUCUGGGAUGGUGUUGGGUUCCGGAGUGAAUUAUGGCGCCAGUAACCUGGAGGACUGGCCCGGCCCCACUGCCCUCACGUGGUGAAAGAGGAGCUGGACUCGGCCCCCGUGAGCCACAAACCACAGCACGGCCAGCCGCGUGGGUACAAGGCAGCAUGUGAUAGCGGCCCACGAGGAGCAGGCAGUAUCUGCCUCAUGUUGUCAGUCAUCAGGAUCACUGAACGUAUUUGCCUUAAGGGCAGAGCUGGAGGAAUCUGGUGGGGGUGGUGCGGGAUGUUCUGGGGACCCUCCAGACAGACCUCUGGGAGCCUUGGGUGUUGAAGGAUCCCUGGGCCCUGGGGGCCAUCGAGUUCAAGCUGCCAAUGUUUGAAAGUAUUUCGGGGAGAAACCACUCUUUUUUUUUUAAAGAUUUUAUUUAUUUAUAUUUCUUUUCAGCAUAACAGUAUUCAUUGUUUUUGCACCACACCCAGUGCUCCAUGCAAUUUGUGCCCUCUAUAAUACCCACCACCUCGUACCCCGAACUCCCACCCCCCACCACUUCAAACCCCUCAGGUUGUUUUUCAGAGUCCAUAGUCUCUCAUGAUUCACCUCCCCUUCCAAUUUCCCUCAAUUCCCUUCUCCUCUCCAUCUCCCCUUGUCCUCCGUGCUAUUUGUUAUGCUCCACAAGUAAGUGAGACUAUAUGAUAACUGACUCUCUCUGCUCGACGUAUUUCACUCAGCAUAAUCUCUUCCAGUCCCGUCCAUGUUGCUACAAAAGUUGGGUAUUCGUCCUUUCUGAUGGAGGCUAAUACUCCAUAGUGUAUAUGGACCACAUCUUCCUUAUCCAUUCGUCCGCUGAAGGGCAUCUUGGUUCUUUCCACAGUUUGGCGACCGUGGCCAUUGCUGCUAUGAACACUGGGGUACAGAUGGCCCUUCUUUUCACUCCAUCUGUAUCUUUGGGGUAAAUACCCAGUAGUGCAAUUGCAGGGUCAUAGGGAAGCUCUAUUUUUAAUUUCUUGAGGAAUCUCCACAUUGUUCUCCAAAGAGGCUGCACCAACUUGCAUUCCCACCAACAGUGUCAGAGGGUUCCCCUUUCUGCACAUCCACUCCAACAAAUGUUGUUUCCUGUCUUGUUAAUUUUGGCCAUUCUAACUGCUGUAAGGUGGUAUCUCAAUGUGGUUUUAAUUUGAAGGGGAGAAACCACUCUUGACUGUGGUGAUAUGUAGGUUUGGGAGCCAAAGCUGAGCCCCACAGCCCACAAGGUUGCCAACAGACAAAAGUUAGGUAACAAGGAGGGGGCACCAGGCACCCACAGGCUGAGCCCAAUUGUCAGGGACCUACUGGGUAUGCAUCACCGGAGGCUGGCUGAGAGGGGUCUGACCAGGCAGCCCAGGCCUGAGGGAGCACAAGGAACUGAAAAGGCAGGUAGGAGGGAAGGCGAUCUUGGGCCCCGGGGCAGGCUUCAGAUGGACCCCUCUGACCUCAGCACAGACCCCAGGGAGCUCUGUUCGAGAAGCCCAGGGACUCAAGAAGCCCCUAGUUUCAAAAGGGAUCUGUUUGUAUCCAGUCUGAAGCUGCUGCCUUUGAAAGAAUUUCAGGGUGUAACCGCCCUCUGCCCUGGGGUGGUGCAGUGUGGGGCACUGGCCUGAGCCCAGUGUUCCACGUGGAGCCAACAAGGUUGUGGGGGUGGGUAGGUGAAUGACGAGGGCUGACUGCACACUCAAAGGCUGCUCAGGCCGAGGGGAGGCCUGGACUUGGAACAGGAAACUACGUAGAACUCUGGCCCCAGAACGUGCUUUGGACCUCAGUAGGCCACCAUGGGCCUGAUUGGCAAGGUGUCUUGGCAACUAGCAAACGCGCAUGCACAGUUGGAGGCCAGUGGUGGGGGCUGACUGCACAGAUGUGGCUGCCGUGGGCCCAGGAUGGCCUGGAUCUUGAGAAACAGCCAUGAGUAGCGCCUAGGUGUGGCUGCAAGCUCCUGGUGGGCUGUGGCAUCUGCAGAAGCCAAGCUCUGUUCUACACAACUGCACGUACCACCCCUGAAGGCCGAGCUGGAGCAGUCGGGGCUGCCUUUAUAGAGAGAGACUGGGGGAUGCUCAGGCUGCCUUCCAGAGAGGCACUUCAUCUUUGCUGGAGAAACCUGGGACCCCUCAAGCAGCCAGUCCACCUGGGGAGGGGCAACCUGCCACUUGAGACUGUUUUCAUGUGGGCUCCUGAUGCCAUUCUGAUGCUCUGGAGUCGACCUGGAGCCCCAUAGGACAGGGUGGGCUGGUGGGCUGGCACGGUGCAGGUCAGGGUGCCAGGGUCCUGGAGCAGGGCAGUUGUAGGAAGAGGCCGUGCCCCAGGUGUAUCUACUCUGUGGGUCCCUGAAGUCAGUCUCAGUGAAAGUCUUGGCUGACACAGAGGUGCACAUUGCCACUGGAGGCCGAGCUGGAAGCAGUGGCACACCCUUGUCAGCUCUGGUCUGGAGGCAGCACGGCUGGUUCAUCUUUUACAAAAGAUGCCAGAGCCCGGAUUGCUGGUAAAGCCGGCGACCCCGUCAGGUAGGCGGGCAGGCUCGAUGGGGACUCAGUGCUCCC
Mustela putorius furo (domestic ferret) is the source of this 3849-nucleotide long non-coding RNA. Lineage: Eukaryota; Metazoa; Chordata; Mammalia; Carnivora; Mustelidae. The record is from Ensembl.